This 349-nucleotide ribosomal RNA is filed under the name uncultured bacterium. RNAcentral's name for it is "partial 16S ribosomal RNA". It matches the Rfam family "Bacterial small subunit ribosomal RNA", at positions 338 to 702 of the family's 1533-position model. The record is from RNAcentral.
CCUACGGGAGGCAGCAGUGGGGAAUAUUGGGCAAUGGGCGCAAGCCUGACCCAGCAACGCCGCGUGAAGGAAGAAGGCUUUCGGGUUGUAAACUUCUUUUAAGAGGGAAGAGCAGAAGACGGUACCUCUUGAAUAAGCCACGGCUAACGACGUGCCAGCAGCCGCGGUAAUACGGAGGUGGCAAGCGUUGUCCGGAUUUACUGGGUGUAAAGGGCGGGCAGCCGGGAAGACAAGUCAGAGGGGAAAUCCCGCGGCUCAACCGCGGAACGGCAUUUGAAACUGUUUUUCUUGAGUACCGGAGAGGUCAUCGGACUUCCUUGUGUAGCGGUGAACUGCGUAGAGAUCAUAC